GGUGUACCGAGCAGUUCCGUCCAGUCACUGUCCGUUAGUGUAGGUGAUUUUGACGACGGCGAGCGUUUUGAUGCGGCAGAAAUCACAUUAUCCUGGCUUCUGCUUACAUUCAAACUUAGAUCACUUCGCAAUUUUCCAUGAUAAUCGUUAUCUACUUGGUUCUUCUUCUUCUUGAGUUGAUCCUUCAAAGGCAAGUUUUCU
This 201-nucleotide unclassified non-coding RNA is filed under the name Hevea brasiliensis (rubber tree). Lineage: Eukaryota; Viridiplantae; Streptophyta; Magnoliopsida; Malpighiales; Euphorbiaceae. The record is from RNAcentral.